Long non-coding RNA from Lynx canadensis (Canada lynx), 477 nucleotides. RefSeq lists it as uncharacterized. The record is from RefSeq and is a predicted model, not a curated record. Lineage: Eukaryota; Metazoa; Chordata; Mammalia; Carnivora; Felidae. The transcript is spliced from 3 exons.
GCUCUGUGCUAGGCACUAAGGGUGUGGGCAGAUUCAGGCGCAGUUUACAAGGAUCCCUUGCUUGGCAGGCUUGGUGAACUCACAGACCAAGGCGGAGAAGAAAGGAAACGUUCGUCGCCUUUUGAGGACGUGCCAGCACUUAUCGAAGUGUUUUUUGCUUGCCGAAUCCUAUGUUCAGCACACCAAGGAUCCAGGGAUACCUACGACAAGAGCCUGCCCUCAACUCUGGUGGGAAGACAUAGAAAUGAACAGUUCACAGCACUCCCUGAGGCCACCCCACUGCCUGGCCUUGUGCUGGGCCCUGGACCUCCGACUCUGAAGACCAGUGAAACCAGUUCAGGGGCGGAAGCAGAGAUGGAUGUAAGCAGUUAUCACACAACGUUCUCUGAGCUGACACAGAGAAAUGCAGGAAUCUGAGGGAUCCCAGAGCGGGGGCCCUAGCCCAGCCUGGGAGAAGGCUGCAGGGAGGGCUUCCUG